Molecule: ribosomal RNA, 1634 nt
Filed under: human gut metagenome
Description: bacterial LSU rRNA
Rfam family: Bacterial large subunit ribosomal RNA
Source: RNAcentral
ACCAGUACCGUGAGGGAAAGGUGAAAAGCACCCCGGGAGGGGAGUGAAACAGUACCUGAAACCGUGCGCCCACAAACCGUCGGAGCCUCCUUGUGGGGUGACGGCGUGCCUAUCGAAAAAUGAGUCUGCGAGUCAGUGGCGGGUGGCGAGCAUAAGCCGUGUGGCGUAUGCGUAGCGAAAGCGAGUCUUAAAAGGCGUUUUUAGUCGCUUGUCCUGGACCCGAAGCGGGAUGAUCUAGCCCUGGGCAGGUUGAAGCGCGGGUAAGACCGCGUGGAGGACCGAACCCACCUGGGUUGAAAACCGGGGGGAUGACCUGGGGCUAGGGGUGAAAGGCCAAUCAAAUUCCGUGAUAGCUGGUUCUCUCCGAAAUGCAUUUAGGUGCAGCGUCGGUCGAUUGCGUCGCGGGGGUAGAGCUACCGGAUGCUUGCGGGCCCUUGUUGGGUACCAACAGCAGCCGAACUCCGAAUACCGUUGACGUGUAUUCCGGCAGUGAGUCGGCGGGGGAUAAGCUCCGUCGUCGAGAGGGAGACAGCCCAGACCGUCGUCUAAGGUCCCGAAGCGUGUGCUAAGUGGGAAAGGAUGUGGAGUCGCAUAGACAGCCAGGAGGUUGGCUCAGAAGCAGCCAUCCUUGAAAGAGUGCGUAACAGCUCACUGGUCUAGUGGUUCCGCGCCGACAAUGUAGCGGGGCUCAAGCACACCACCGAAGACGCGGCAGCAAUCUUCAUGGUUGCUGGGUAGGAGAGCGUCCUGCGAGGGGCGAAGCGGCCGGGUAACCGUGCCGUGGACUUCGUGGGAGUGAGAAUGCAGACAUGAGUAGCGAGAGACGGGUGAGGAUCCCGUCCGCUGGAUGACCAAGGGUUCCGGGGCCACGUUCGUCGUCCCCGGGUGAGUCGGGUCCUAAGGCGAGGCCGACAGGCGUAGUCGAAUGGAUGAACGGGUGGAUAUUCCCGUACCGACCAUGGACCGGCAAAACCGAGACGGUGAGUACUAACCUCCGCCUCGUGGUGGUUCCUUCCUUCGGGUUGGUAUCGCCGCGUGGUGUUGGGACUGUAGCCGUAGUAGGUCAGCGCAGGGGUGACACGGAAUGGGAGCCGGCCGCGGAGGUGGUUUUCCGUGGUCAAGCACGCAGCCAGUCAUGUAGGCAAAUCCGCAUGGCGUGCAUGGCGAGGUGUGAUGAUGGGAGCCUUUUGGGCUCGAUAUCCGGUUGUCCAGGCCGUCGAGAAAAGCCUCGGCGUGAGGGCCAUGGCCGCCCGUACCCCAAACCGACACUGGUGGUCAGGUAGAGAAUACCAAGGCGAUCGAGCGAAUCCUGGUCAAGGAACUCGGCAAAUCACUCCCGUGCCUUCGGUAUAAGGGAGACCCGCUGGGGUGAAGGACCUUGCGUCCGGAGCUUUGGUGGGUGGCACAGACCAGGGGGUAGCGACUGUUUACCAAAAACACAGGUGCAUGCGAAGGCGAAAGCCGCUGUAUAUGCACUGACGCCUGCCCGGUGCCGGAAGGUUAAGAGGAUCCGUCAAUCCCUUCGGGGACGAAGCGGUGAAUUCAAGCCCCGGUAAACGGCGGUGGUAACUAUAACCAUCCUAAGGUAGCGAAAUUCCUUGUCGGGUAAGUUCCGACCUGCACGAAUGGCGUAA